This 604-nucleotide ribosomal RNA is filed under the name Streptomyces bikiniensis. RNAcentral's name for it is "bacterial SSU rRNA". It matches the Rfam family "Bacterial small subunit ribosomal RNA", at positions 252 to 866 of the family's 1533-position model. The record is from RNAcentral. Lineage: Bacteria; Bacillati; Actinomycetota; Actinomycetes; Kitasatosporales; Streptomycetaceae.
GUGGGGUAAUGGCCUACCAAGGCGACGACGGGUAGCCGGCCUGAGAGGGCGACCGGCCACACUGGGACUGAGACACGGCCCAGACUCCUACGGGAGGCAGCAGUGGGGAAUAUUGCACAAUGGGCGCAAGCCUGAUGCAGCGACGCCGCGUGAGGGAUGACGGCCUUCGGGUUGUAAACCUCUUUCAGCAGGGAAGAAGCGCAAGUGACGGUACCUGCAGAAGAAGCGCCGGCUAACUACGUGCCAGCAGCCGCGGUAAUACGUAGGGCGCAAGCGUUGUCCGGAAUUAUUGGGCGUAAAGAGCUCGUAGGCGGCUUGUCACGUCGGGUGUGAAAGCCCGGGGCUUAACCCCGGGUCUGCAUCCGAUACGGGCAGGCUAGAGUGUGGUAGGGGAGAUCGGAAUUCCUGGUGUAGCGGUGAAAUGCGCAGAUAUCAGGAGGAACACCGGUGGCGAAGGCGGAUCUCUGGGCCAUUACUGACGCUGAGGAGCGAAAGCGUGGGGAGCGAACAGGAUUAGAUACCCUGGUAGUCCACGCCGUAAACGUUGGGAACUAGGUGUUGGCGACAUUCCACGUCGUCGGUGCCGCAGCUAACGCAUUAAGUU